RNAcentral lists this ribosomal RNA (598 nucleotides) under uncultured bacterium. RNAcentral describes it as "bacterial SSU rRNA". The stretch from base 1 to 526 matches the Rfam family "Bacterial small subunit ribosomal RNA", at positions 338 to 873 of the family's 1533-position model. The record is from RNAcentral.
CCUACGGGAGGCAGCAGUGGGGAAUAUUGCACAAUGGGCGAAAGCCUGAUGCAGCGACGCCGCGUGAGGGAUGACGGCCUUCGGGUUGUAAACCUCUUUCAGUAGGGAAGAAGCGAAAGUGACGGUACCUGCAGAAGAAGCGCCGGCUAACUACGUGCCAGCAGCCGCGGUAAUACGUAGGGCGCAAGCGUUAUCCGGAAUUAUUGGGCGUAAAGAGCUCGUAGGCGGUUUGUCGCGUCUGCCGUGAAAGUCCGGGGCUCAACUCCGGAUCUGCGGUGGGUACGGGCAGACCAGAGUGAUGUAGGGGAGACUGGAAUUCCUGGUGUAGCGGUGAAAUGCGCAGAUAUCAGGAGGAACACCGAUGGCGAAGGCAGGUCUCUGGGCAUUAACUGACGCUGAGGAGCGAAAGCAUGGGGAGCGAACAGGAUUAGAUACCCUGGUAGUCCAUGCCGUAAACGUUGGGCACUAGGUGUGGGGGUACAUUCCACGUUUUCCGCGCCGUAGCUAACGCAUUAAGUGCCCCGCCUGGGGNGUACGCGCGAGACGUAACUACAAGAAGUAGACGCGNGAGAGNGCGACGACGACGACGAGGGAGUAG